GCCUAAAGCGUCCGUAGCCGGCUCUGUAAGUUUUCGGUUAAAUCCAUAUGCUCAACAUAUGGGCCGCCGGGAAUACUGCAUAGCUAGGGAGUGGGAGAGGUAGACGGUACUCCGUAGGAAGGGGUAAAAUCCUUUGAUCUAUGGAUGACCACCAGUGGCGAAGGCGGUCUACCAGAACACGUUCGACGGUGAGGGAUGAAAGCUGGGGGAGCAAACCGGAUUAGAUACCCGGGUAGUCCCAGCUGUAAACUAUGCAAACUCAGUGAUGCAUUGGCUUGUGGCCAGUGCAGUGCCGCAGAGAAGUCGUUAAGUUUGCCGCCUGGGAAGUACGUACGCAAGUAUGAAACUUAAAGGAAUUGGCGGGGGAGCACCACAAGGGGUGAAGCCUGCGGUUUAAUUGGAGUCAACGCCAGAAAUCUUACCCGGAGAGACAGCAGGAUGAAGGUCAAGCUGAAGACUUUACCAGACAAGCUGAGGAGUGGUGCAUGGCCGUCGCCAGCUCGUGCCGUGAGGUGUCCUGUUAAGUCAGGUAACGAGCGAGAUCCUUGCCUCUAGUUGCCACCAUUACUCUCAGGAGUAGUGGGGCGAAUUAGCGGGACUGCCGUAGUUAAUACGGAGGAAGGAGAGGGCCACGGCAGGUCAGUAUGCCCCGAA
Molecule: ribosomal RNA, 654 nt
Filed under: uncultured archaeon
Lineage: Archaea
Description: bacterial SSU rRNA
Rfam family: Archaeal small subunit ribosomal RNA
Source: RNAcentral